Molecule: ribosomal RNA, 1466 nt
Filed under: metagenome
Description: bacterial LSU rRNA
Rfam family: Bacterial large subunit ribosomal RNA
Source: RNAcentral
GAUUCCUGUACUGCGGUAUGACAGAACUGUGGGGACACGUAAGGAAAGCGGAAGCCGGGAAUGGAAAGCCCGGUGCAAGCGGGGUACCAGUCACUUUGGCAAAUCCGGGUGGCAAUGGGAAGCCGUGAUGCGGAGUGAAAUAAAGUAGCGAAGUCCGUGAGCCAUGCGUCAAGAAAAGCCGCUAUCGUUCAUACCGUACCCGUACCGUAAACCGACACAGGUGGAUGAGGAGAGAAUCCUAAGGCCGGCGGAAGAAGCAUUGUCAAGGAACUCGGCAAAAUGGCCCCGUAACUUAGGGAUAAGGGGUGCCUGGGAAACCAGGCCGCAGAGAAUAGGCUCAAGCAACUGUUUAGCAAAAACACAGGUCUAUGCGAAACCGAAAGGUGAGGUAUAUGGGCUGACGCCUGCCCGGUGCUGGAAGGUUAAGAGGAGAGGUUAGCGCAAGCGAAGCUUUGAAUUUAAGCCCCAGUAAACGGCGGCCGUAACGAUAACGGUCCUAAGGUAGCGAAAUUCCUUGUCGGGUAAGUUCCGACCCGCACGAAAGGCGUAAUGAUUUGAGCGCUGUCUCGACAAUGCAUCCGGUGAAAUUGAAGUACCAGUGAAGAUGCUGGUUACCUGCGCCAGGACGGAAAGACCCCAUGGAGCUUUACUCCAGUCUGGUACUGGGACUCGGUAUUGCAUGUACAGGAUAGGUGGGAGGCUAGGAGAUGGUAACGCCAGUUGCCAUGGAGCCGCUGUUGGGAUACCACCCUUGCAGUAUUGGGUUUCUAACCAGCCGCCGUGACCCGGCGGUGGGACAAUGCCAGACGGCGAGUUUGACUGGGGCGGUCGCCUCCGAAAGGGUAUCGGAGGCGCCCAAAGGUUCCCUCAGAAUGGACGGAAACCAUUCGAAGAGUGCAAAGGCAGAAGGGAGCUUGACUGCGACACCGACGGGUGGAGCAGGUACGAAAGUAGGGCUUAGUGAUCCGGUGGUAUUAAGUGGGAAUGCCAUCGCUCAACGGAUAAAAGCUACCCUGGGAUAACAGGCUUAUCACUCCCAAGAGUUCACAUCGACGGAGUGGUUUGGCACCUCGAUGUCGGCUCAUCGCAUCCUGGGGCUGUAGUAGGUCCCAAGGGUUGGGCUGUUCGCCCAUUAAAGCGGUACGCGAGCUGGGUUCAGAACGUCGUGAGACAGUUCGGUCCCUAUCCGGCGUGGGCGUAGGAUAUCUGAGAGGAGCUGUCCUUAGUACGAGAGGACCGGGAUGGACGGGCCGCUGGUGCAUCGGUUAGACUGCCAAGUCUACGGCCGAGUAGCCAAGCCCGGAAGGGAUAAACGCUGAAGGCAUCUAAGCGUGAAGCCCCCCUUAAGAUGAGAUAUCCCAUUCGAAAGAAGUAAACCCCCUUGAAGACGACGAGGUAGAUAGGGCAGAGGUGGAAGUGCAGCAAUGCAUGGAGCUGACUGUUACUAAUCGGGUGAGGGCUUGACC